This is a long non-coding RNA of Andrographis paniculata, 421 nucleotides long. RefSeq lists it as uncharacterized. The transcript is spliced from 3 exons. The record is from RefSeq and is a predicted model, not a curated record. NCBI's taxonomy places the organism in Eukaryota, Viridiplantae, Streptophyta, Magnoliopsida, Lamiales, Acanthaceae.
UCUUGUGAGCCCAGGUGUGAUGCGGCUGGUAACCGCCCAUUGCAAUCUCUGUAUCUCUCGAACCAGCCAUGGACCUCUGGUUGAUGUUGGCUGAGCCGAGGGAUACCUGGGAAGAGCAUGUCUGAAGUUAAAGGCAGGGUGAUACAGAGACUACCUAAGUAGAUUUAAGUACCUGAUUAGCACUCCCUGCGGAUUGCUCCUUGGGUGCGGAUGGCUCAUGACACUCCUCUCGGUUGCCGAGGCAAUAGAAGUUGAGAUAGUCUGUUGGAUGCACAUUCUCAAGCCCCGCAGACUUGAUCUCCCGAGCAAUAACAUCAUUUUCGGCUUUUCGGUUGUUAUGUUACCUGCCAAUAAAGGAUUUCUUGUACUGUGGCGGAGCUUGGAACACCCUCGGGCCACAUUGGGAUCACUACGUAAACAG